Non-coding RNA from Chelonoidis abingdonii (Abingdon island giant tortoise), 512 nucleotides. The record is from the annotation of a RefSeq genome assembly. Lineage: Eukaryota; Metazoa; Chordata; Testudines; Testudinidae.
GCAGUGACCAGUUAAUCCCCUGAGAACUUUCCCCUCCAGCACCCGGGAAAAUGAGGAUUUGGCUCCAUUUCGUUUUCAUUGUAGCAGCUCUGGAAGGUGUCCGGUCCCAGGUGCAGCUGGUGGAGUCCGGAGGGGAUGUGAAAAAGCCCGGAGACUCUCUCCGCCUCUCCUGCAAAGCCUCCGGCUUCACCUUCGGUGACUACAGCAUGAACUGGGUCCGACAGGCUCCUGGCAAGGGGCUAGAAUGGGUCGCAGGUAUAAGCUACUAGGCGGGCAGUACUAUACAUUACGCCAACGCGGUCAAAGGCCGAUUCACCAUCUCCAGAGACAACCCCAACAACCUGCUGUAUCUGCAAAUGACCGGCCUGAAGCCCGAGGACACCGCCCGGUAUUACUGUGCGAGAGACACAGUGAGAGGAAGCCGGUCUGAGCUCAGACAAAAACCUCCCAUUGCGGUCAGUAGGGAAAGUCCCAACUGGCGAGACCCUGACACUCCCGGGACUGGAAACUGA